Long non-coding RNA from Ixodes scapularis (black-legged tick), 362 nucleotides. RefSeq lists it as uncharacterized. NCBI's taxonomy places the organism in Eukaryota, Metazoa, Arthropoda, Arachnida, Ixodida, Ixodidae. The record is from RefSeq and is a predicted model, not a curated record. The transcript is spliced from 3 exons.
GGCAGCCUCGAUAGAAAUUAUAAAGGCACGUCAGCAAGUCUAUGCUUGCCGUUAGUGACGCACAUUAUAGGUUUCUGUAUGUAGAACUUGGCCAUCAUGGGAGCGAGAGCGACGGAGGCAUAUUUUCACGCAGCAAGCUUCAGGAGCGGCUGCUGCAAGGCCAGAUGGGCGUGCCACCAGACCAAAACGUUGGGAUAGAGGGGACUUGCUUUUUUUGUUGGUGAUGAGGCAUUUCCACUGAAAAUCUACAUGAUGCGGCCCUUUUCAAGAAAAGCGGAUUCGCGGGUUGAUGAGGCUCAUGCCGGGUGCCGGGUCGCCCAUGACGGAGGGGCGCGGAGCCGCGGGGCGGCAGUCACCCCGAG